Molecule: ribosomal RNA, 83 nt
Filed under: Dorea formicigenerans
Lineage: Bacteria; Bacillati; Bacillota; Clostridia; Lachnospirales; Lachnospiraceae
Description: partial 23S ribosomal RNA
Rfam family: Bacterial large subunit ribosomal RNA
Source: RNAcentral
GACGACGAGGUAGAUAGGACAGAGGUGGAAGUGUGGUAACACAUGGAGCUGACUGUUACUAAUAGGUCGAGGGCAUAACCAAG